Molecule: ribosomal RNA, 253 nt
Filed under: uncultured bacterium
Lineage: Bacteria
Description: partial 16S ribosomal RNA
Rfam family: Bacterial small subunit ribosomal RNA
Source: RNAcentral
UACGUAGGGUGCGAGCGUUAAUCGGAGUUACUGGGCGUAAAGGGCGCGUAGGCGGCGUUCCAAGUUAGGCGUGAAAGCCCCGGGCCCAACCUGGGAACUGCAUCCAAAACUGGCGAGCUAGAGUAUGGCAGAGGGUGGUGGAAUUUCCUGUGUAGCGGUGAAAUGCGUAGAUAUAGGAAGGAACACCAGUGGCGAAGGCGACCACCUGGGCCUGCACUGACGCUCAUGCACGAAAGCGUGGGGAGCAAACAGG